RNAcentral lists this transfer RNA (67 nucleotides) under Pteropus alecto (black flying fox). It matches the Rfam family "tRNA". From Rfam's summary of the family: Transfer RNA (tRNA) molecules are approximately 80 nucleotides in length. Their secondary structure includes four short double-helical elements and three loops (D, anti-codon, and T loops). Further hydrogen bonds mediate the characteristic L-shaped molecular structure. tRNAs have two regions of fundamental functional importance: the anti-codon, which is responsible for specific mRNA codon recognition, and the 3' end, to which the tRNAs corresponding amino acid is attached (by aminoacyl-tRNA synthetases). tRNAs cope with the degeneracy of the genetic code in two manners: having more than one tRNA (with a specific anti-codon) for a particular amino acid; and 'wobble' base-pairing, i.e. permitting non-standard base-pairing at the 3rd anti-codon position. The record is from Rfam by way of RNAcentral. Lineage: Eukaryota; Metazoa; Chordata; Mammalia; Chiroptera; Pteropodidae.
GGCUCCACAGUGUAGCACAUCUGUUUUACACACAGAAGGUCCUGGGUUCGUGCCCCAGGUGGAGCCA